AUCGCAGCAACAAAAAUCAUUGCUAUAUAACAUCAGAAAAAAUGUGUGAAAGUGCCCAUGAAACAAUUGCAUCUUAAAAAUUCGUUGAAUCAGAAAGUAAAAUGGUUGAUUCAUGGGCCAAUGGCCACUACGUAUACAUCAGUAGCAACGUGAAGAGAGGGAAUAUGCUCACUCGACAUUACCUGAAUGUUCUAAAGAGGCAUCUCGUGAAUGUUCUUAACAGGCAUUCAUGCACGGCAUGAUCAAAUAAAUCAUUGAGAGGGAAUGACAUAGGGGUUGAAAGCACUGCUCACUUUGCUGGGCCAACCUGGCACCGGGCGUGGAGACCAUCGACGCGCAGAGCACCGGCGCGAGCCAUCUCUAGCCAUUGGGCAUGGAGACCAGCGACGGCGCCUAGCAUCGGUGCGAGCCAUCCCUGGCCGUCAGACAUGGAUGUGAGCAAGGAGGAGGAUAAGGAAAAAGAAGGGCACAACCGGGACUCACCGGCGAGCUGCCACAGCGCUCCAACGUACGGCGGAUCUCGCCGGGAUGAAGGCGGCCUCCUCGUUCACCCGCGCCUGCCCUGUUCAGCACCGCCUGGAGGAUGUUGCACGCGCAGCCGCGGCCUUACCGGCAACCCGAG
This 622-nucleotide long non-coding RNA is filed under the name Triticum aestivum (bread wheat). RNAcentral describes it as "long non-coding RNA (TAES_LNC000898)". Lineage: Eukaryota; Viridiplantae; Streptophyta; Magnoliopsida; Poales; Poaceae. The record is from RNAcentral.